This 379-nucleotide ribosomal RNA is filed under the name uncultured bacterium. RNAcentral's name for it is "bacterial SSU rRNA". It matches the Rfam family "Bacterial small subunit ribosomal RNA", at positions 29 to 396 of the family's 1533-position model. The record is from RNAcentral.
AAUGAACGCUGGCGGCGCGCCUAAUACAUGCAAGUCGAGCGAGAAGACGUAGCAAUACGUUUGUAAAGCGGCGAACGGGUGAGGAAUACAUGGGUAACCUACCCUCGAGUGGGGAAUAACUAGCCGAAAGGUUAGCUAAUACCGCGUACGCUCCUUGGACUUCGGUUCAGGGAGGAAAGCGAUACCGUGGGUAUCGCGCUCUUGGUUGGGCUCAUGUCCUAUCAGCUUGUUGGUGAGGUAACGGCUCACCAAGGCUUCGACGGGUAGCUGGUCUGAGAGGACGAUCAGCCACACUGGCACUGCGACACGGGCCAGACUCCUACGGGAGGCAGCAAGUAAGGAAUAUUGCGCAAUGGGCGAAAGCCUGACGCAGCCGACG